This 25-nucleotide unclassified non-coding RNA is filed under the name Mus musculus (house mouse). RNAcentral describes it as "oocyte_clustered_small_RNA13442". Lineage: Eukaryota; Metazoa; Chordata; Mammalia; Rodentia; Muridae. The record is from RNAcentral.
UGCUGUGGAAGCUGGCUUCCUGGAA